GUGGGGAAUCUUCCGCAAUGGGCGAAAGCCUGACGGAGCAACGCCGCGUGAGUGAAGAAGGGUUUCGGCUCGUAAAGCUCUGUUGACGGGGACGAAUGUGCGGGAUGCGAAUAGUUUCCUGCAAUGACGGUACCCGUCGAGGAAGCCACGGCUAACUACGUGCCAGCAGCCGCGGUAAUACGUAGGUGGCGAGCGUUGUCCGGAAUUAUUGGGCGUAAAGGGAGCGCAGGCGGGAAGGCAAGUCAGUCUUAAAAGUGCGGGGCUCAACCCCGUGAUGGGAUUGAAACUGUCUUUCUUGAGUGCAGGAGAGGAAAGCGGAAUUCCUAGUGUAGCGGUGAAAUGCGUAGAUAUUAGGAGGAACACCAGUGGCGAAGGCGGCUUUCUGGACUGUAACUGACGCUGAGGCUCGAAAGCGUGGGGAGCGAACAGG
Molecule: ribosomal RNA, 430 nt
Filed under: uncultured rumen bacterium
Lineage: Bacteria
Description: bacterial SSU rRNA
Rfam family: Bacterial small subunit ribosomal RNA
Source: RNAcentral